UAGGGAAUAUUAGUUAAUGUGCGAAAGCGCGAACUAGCAACGCCGCGUGUGCGAUGAAGGCCUUCGGGUUGUAAAGCACUUUUCUAAGGGAUGAGGAAGGACAGUACCUUAGGAAUAAGCCUCGGCUAACUACGUGCCAGCAGCCGCGGUAAAACGUAGGAGGCGAGCGUUAUCCGGAUUUACUGGGCGUAAAGCGCGUGCAGGCGGUUUGGUAAGUUGGAUGUGAAAGCUCCUGGCUUAACUGGGAGAGGUCGUUCAAUACUGUCAGACUUGAGGAUGGUAGAGGGAGAUGGAAUUCCGGGUGUAGUGGUGAAAUGCGUAGAUAUCCGGAGGAACACCAGUGGCGAAAGCGAUCUCCUGGACCAUUUCUGACGCUCAGACGCGAAAGCUAGGGUAGCAAACGG
RNAcentral lists this ribosomal RNA (404 nucleotides) under uncultured bacterium. RNAcentral's name for it is "bacterial SSU rRNA". It matches the Rfam family "Bacterial small subunit ribosomal RNA", at positions 355 to 775 of the family's 1533-position model. The record is from RNAcentral.